Molecule: ribosomal RNA, 261 nt
Filed under: uncultured bacterium
Lineage: Bacteria
Description: partial 16S ribosomal RNA
Rfam family: Bacterial small subunit ribosomal RNA
Source: RNAcentral
UACGUAGGGUGCGAGCGUUGUCCGGAAUUAUUGGGCGUAAAGGGCUCGUAGGCGGUUUGUCGCGUCGGGAGUGAAAACCAAGUGCUUAACACCUGGCUUGCUUUCGAUACGGGCAGACUAGAGGUAUUCAGGGGGAGAACGGAAUUCCUGGUGUGAGCGGUGGAAAUGACGCAGAUAUCAGGAGGGAACACCCGGUGGCGAAGGCGGGUCGUCUGGGCCGGCAACUGACGCUGAGGAGCGAAAGCGUGGGGAGCAAACAGG